RNAcentral lists this unclassified non-coding RNA (644 nucleotides) under Hevea brasiliensis (rubber tree). Lineage: Eukaryota; Viridiplantae; Streptophyta; Magnoliopsida; Malpighiales; Euphorbiaceae. The record is from RNAcentral.
UAACCACUGGUCCAAAUAUAAUACUUGGCACAUUUGCAUAAAAAUUUGAAAGAUGGUAGGACUCCAUUCAUAUAUUCCAUUUUCAUCUCUUCCUUUUUUAGUCGCGUUCCCACUCAGUUUACUAGUGUUUAAAUCUUUUGGGUCAUCAUUGGAGGAUGAAGCAAACAAGUUAAAUAUAAGGAAGGCUAUGUAGAGACUGGAAGAAUAGGCCUGCCCUGAGGGGUCGUCAUGGCGGCAUGCUUGCUGCGUCCUUCAUCUUGGUCGUGGAUGUAGUAGAGAUUCUAGCACACUUGGCAAAUGCAAGUACCUUGUGCUAUACCAGUCGAAGGGCACAGCCUUCCUCCUUGCUGUACUUGGUGGCUUUCUAGCAGAUGGUUUUUUUCACUACCUGUUGCGUCUACUUGAUAAGUGCUCCAAUAGAAUUCAUGGUAAUUAAGAUCACAAAGCUACUUUACUCUUGUAUAGUAGGACAUAUUUUUUCAUUUAAUGAAAUAUUCUUGCCGUCAUUGAAAAAGGGAAUUAGUAACCCCUAUUAUUCUAAUAAAUUGUGCUAGAUUGUCCAAUCAUAUUCAGGUAGCUGGUUACAUUCCACAGGCUCAAGUGAAGAUUUCAGUUCUCUGUGGUCCCCUUUCAAAUGAAAAUAG